Molecule: unclassified non-coding RNA, 337 nt
Filed under: soil metagenome
Description: partial contains 5.8S ribosomal RNA, internal transcribed spacer 2, and large subunit ribosomal RNA
Rfam family: 5.8S ribosomal RNA (bases 1-120)
Source: RNAcentral
GAUGAAGAACGUAGCGAAAUGCGAUAAGUAAUGUGAAUUGCAGAAUUCAGUGAAUCAUCGAAUCUUUGAACGCACAUUGCGCCCGCCAGUAUUCUGGCGGGCAUGCCUGUUCGAGCGUCAUUUCAACCAUCAAGCCCCCGGGCUUGUGUUGGGGUCCUGCGGCUGCCGCAGGCCCUGAAAAGCAGUGGCGGGCUCGCUGUCACACCGAGCGUAGUAGAUUUUAUCUCGCUCAGGGCGUGCUGCGGGUUCCGGCCGUUAAACCACCUUCAUAACCCAAGGUUGACCUCGGAUCAGGUAUGAAGACCCGCUGAACUUAAGCAUAUCAAUAAGCGGAGGA